This 719-nucleotide unclassified non-coding RNA is filed under the name Hevea brasiliensis (rubber tree). The record is from RNAcentral. Lineage: Eukaryota; Viridiplantae; Streptophyta; Magnoliopsida; Malpighiales; Euphorbiaceae.
GGGGGGGGGGGGGCGGGGGGCGGGGCCGGCCUGUGGUGUUGUGUGGUGGUUGGGGUUGGGGGGAUGGUGGGAGGUGUGGUUUGAUAUUUAGCAUGAGUUCAAGAAUGGAGGAUGCAAUUUACCCAACUACUUCAGGUGGAAGUGUUCUCCAUCUUCUAGCAAUGACAACAUGAUUAUACUAGAUACAGAGAAACAAUGUUGGUUGGUAACAUCCUAGAAACACAUUAGUUACCUUUAUGUUUACAGAAGAAACUAAGCAAGGUUUACAUAAAUGACAAGUAAAAUUCAGAGCAUUAAGAAGUUAAUUCCACGACCAAUUAGGCACUUCAUAUGCAACUUUUUCACUCUUUUUUCACAUAACUCAGAAUAUAGAAAAGGUAAAUUCUCUCCUGGUUCCCUCCGUUCCCUCCCAGGCCACCCUGCUUCUCUCCCAGGGUACCUGUAUUAUGCAUCAACAAAAAAAAAAGAACGAAAGAAAACAUCCAAAGUGGGGCAACACACCAGGAAAAAAGCAUCAAGAGUACCUUGGAUGAUUUUCCUAAUUCAGUGGCUAUUUUAUGUUGGCUCUUUUCUUGAUGACACAUUGAUCCUACCAAAUCAUAAAGUCUGGGGUCAGAUCCUUCUGAUUCGCUGCAGCGAGAAGAAACCAGAUUCCAAAGUGAAAGCAAAGUCACAUUUGACAGUCUGGCCUGCUUCAAGCUAAUGAGAUAGUCAGGUAU